RNAcentral lists this ribosomal RNA (449 nucleotides) under Leucophoropterini sp. SLS-2010. Its description in RNAcentral is "partial 16S ribosomal RNA". It matches the Rfam family "Bacterial large subunit ribosomal RNA", at positions 1947 to 2609 of the family's 2925-position model. The record is from RNAcentral. Lineage: Eukaryota; Metazoa; Arthropoda; Insecta; Hemiptera; Miridae.
UGUACAAAGGUAGCAUAAUCAUUUGUCUCUUAAUUGGAGUCUGGAAUGAAUGGUUGGAUGAAAAAUUUACUUUCUUUAUUUUAAAUAAAAAAUUUGAUUUUUAGAUUAAAAAGUCUAAAUGUUGAUAAAGGACGAGAAGACCCUAUAGAACUUUAUUUUCUUAGAUUAGUUAUUUAUUUGUAAAUGAUAUUUUACUAGUUGGUGUGAAUUUUGUUGGGGUGACAGAAAAAAUUUAAUAACUUUUUCUAUUUUUUUCACAUAUAUGUGAUUUAUUGAUCCUUUAUUAAGGAAACAAGAUUAAGUUACCUUAGGGAUAACAGCGUUAUUAUUUCAGAGAGUUCAUAUUGAUGAAAUAGUUUGCGACCUCGAUGUUGGAUUAAAAUUAAUUUCAGGAGUAGAAGAUUGAAAUAUUAGGUCUGUUCGACCUUUAAAUUUUUACAUGAUCUGAG